CAGUCGAACGAACUCUGGUAUUGAUUGGUGCUUGCAUCAUGAUUUACAUUUGAGUGAGUGGCGAACUGGUGAGUAACACGUGGGAAACCUGCCCAGAAGCGGGGGAUAACACCUGGAAACAGAUGCUAAUACCGCAUAACAACUUGGACCGCAUGGUCCGAGUUUGAAAGAUGGCUUCGGCUAUCACUUUUGGAUGGUCCCGCGGCGUAUUAGCUAGAUGGUGGGGUAACGGCUCACCAUGGCAAUGAUACGUAGCCGACCUGAGAGGGUAAUCGGCCACAUUGGGACUGAGACACGGCCCAAACUCCUACGGGAGGCAGCAGUAGGGAAUCUUCCACAAUGGACGAAAGUCUGAUGGAGCAACGCCGCGUGAGUGAAGAAGGGUUUCGGCUCGUAAAACUCUGUUGUUAAAGAAGAACAUAUCUGAGAGUAACUGUUCAGGUAUUGACGGUAUUUAACCAGAAAGCCACGGCUAACUACGUGCCAGCAGCCGCGGUAAUACGUAGGUGGCAAGCGUUGUCCGGAUUUAUUGGGCGUAAAGCGAGCGCAGGCGGUUUUUUAAGUCUGAUGUGAAAGCCUUCGGCUCAACCGAAGAAGUGCAUCGGAAACUGGGAAACUUGAGUGCAGA
Molecule: ribosomal RNA, 628 nt
Filed under: Lactiplantibacillus pentosus
Lineage: Bacteria; Bacillati; Bacillota; Bacilli; Lactobacillales; Lactobacillaceae
Description: bacterial SSU rRNA
Rfam family: Bacterial small subunit ribosomal RNA
Source: RNAcentral